Molecule: ribosomal RNA, 480 nt
Filed under: Streptococcus sp. oral taxon 070
Lineage: Bacteria; Bacillati; Bacillota; Bacilli; Lactobacillales; Streptococcaceae
Description: bacterial SSU rRNA
Rfam family: Bacterial small subunit ribosomal RNA
Source: RNAcentral
GACGAACGCUGGCGGCGUGCCUAAUACAUGCAAGUAGAACGCUGAAGCUUGGUGCUUGCACCGAGCGGAUGAGUUGCGAACGGGUGAGUAACGCGUAGGUAACCUGCCUGGUAGCGGGGGAUAACUAUUGGAAACGAUAGCUAAUACCGCAUAAAAUGGAUUAUCGCAUGAUAAUCCAUUGAAAGGUGCAAAUGCAUCACUACCAGAUGGACCUGCGUUGUAUUAGCUAGUUGGUGGGGUAACGGCUCACCAAGGCGACGAUACAUAGCCGACCUGAGAGGGUGAUCGGCCACACUGGGACUGAGACACGGCCCAGACUCCUACGGGAGGCAGCAGUAGGGAAUCUCCGGCAACGGACGGAAGUCUGACCGAGCAACGCCGCGUGAGUGAAGAAGGUUUUCGGAUCGUAAAGCUCUGUUGUAAGAGAAGAACGAGUGUGAGAGUGGAAAGUUCACACUGUGACGGUUCUUACCAGAAAGG